This 2532-nucleotide long non-coding RNA is filed under the name Homo sapiens (human). RNAcentral describes it as "HSALNT0289749". The record is from RNAcentral. Lineage: Eukaryota; Metazoa; Chordata; Mammalia; Primates; Hominidae.
AGGAGAAUCAACAUCCUGGCUUGGGAGGUUUCCCACCUCCUUUUCCCAGUCAGCUGCCGGAACUCCCAUGAGGACAGGCCGUGUUGGGGGCUGGACCCUGGCUCCAGCGUGGCCCCUCAGCUGCCUCCUCGGCUGCCUGCUCUCGUCUCACCCAUCCUGGUUGUGGGAUCACAGCAGCAGCUCACCCAGAGACUCAGAGUCACCCCUCAGCCUCCCUCACUCCAGGCCGGGUGGGCAUGGCUGUGCUGCCCCAGCCUGGGAGUGUGAGCCACAUCUUCCUCUUGGUCCAACCCUCCUUCCUCCUUGGCUGGCUAGAGGCUGAGGCUUCUCUCCACCUGAGCCUUGGGACACCCAUACCCGUGACAGGACAAGACGCGCUCACACUUGGAACAGGUGCAGCUGUGGCCAUGGAGUGCACCUGUCCAGUCCUCCCACCCCCACACCUGGGGCUUCAGAGAUGCGUCGGGGGAGGCUGGGUCUCCUGGGGCCCUCGGGCCUGGAGCUGCUGGCCAGCACCCCUGCUGCUACGUGCCUGAGAAAGGGAGUGUCCUGCUGCUGCUGCCCCUGAGGCCAGGGCAGACUGGGAGUCGUCCAUCUCACAGGGCUCUGAAGCUGGCAGGAACUUGAAAGUCGUGCCCAAGCCCCCAACGUUGGUCAGCGUGAUGGUCCGAGACGUGGUCUCUCCUACCACGUAGCUGCCGAAGUCAAUGAGCUCCUUGUCGAGGGACAGCUGCCAGAGGACAUGGAGUGAACUCAGGGCCACCGUGCCAGGCCCACAGGGUGCCCAGCGUGAGGCCUGCACGUGGCUCCAGGCAGGGCUGCCCUGAGCAUUUGUGCGCGUUGUGCACUGCACAAGCAGGUACACGAUUCAACCCAGAAAUCAGGUGUGUAUUGCUCAUGACAAGGUGUGGCACGCGAGUCUGGUUUUAAGAACAUCAAGGCAGGAGCCCCCUCGCCACGGAGUAACAAGGGUUCAGUGAGAGGACGCAGGGCCCGGAUGCAGGGCCUAAACAAGGAGCCUGGACACGGGGCUUUGGAGGUCCUGAGGAUGGAUGGUGUCAUUCCUGGGUGAGGUCAGCUGGACUCUGGAUACAGGGACCCAGGGAGCAUCCUUCCAGAACGGGAGCACGCCCUCCAUGGGGGUGCCUCACCAUGCCCGCUGUGGGCCACAGGCCACAGAAGCUCUGGUGCUGGCUAAGGAUGCAGGCCCGGGCCAUACCUCGGCUCUGCCCAAUGGCCCCUCCUCGGGAGGCUUUUCUGGGCUCUGAGUUUGGAGGCCCAGGGGCUCCCCACUCUGUGCUCCUGCUCCAGGGGCAGGACCAGGGGCCACCGACGCAAAUGGACGUGGUUCGCAGAGGGCGGUCGGGGUCCAGCCAAGGGAGGCCGCCUCCUUCCCGCCUGCACCGCCUGGGUCCUGUUCUCCCCUUGUUCAGAUGGGGUUUUACUGUUUUUACAGUCCCCAGCCUGGACGCUCCCCUGGGAGAAGCAAGCCCCUGCUCAGGGGAGCCGAGGGUCUCGGUGCUCCUGUCACAGAGGAGCACUUGACACUGCAAAGACCAAAUGCGGGAGAGGCCGGGGCAGCUCUGGCCAGGACACCUGGGGCCUCGCCGGGCACGUGCUCCAUGAUGCUGAUCCGGAGUGGAGCAGGCCAGUACCAGACUCCUGCCGGGCUCCCAGGCUGAGCAGGAGGGAGCCGGAGCCUGGCUGUCUGCGGGGGGGCGGGGGACUUCCUGCUGCCCCUGGCCCUGGUGCUCGGUGUCCUGGGCCUGAGUCUUGGCUCACCAAGAGCCCGCACAGCCGAGUGCCGGCCCAACCGUGACCGCUCUGAGGAGAAGGCGGCAGCCACAGGGCAAGGAGCUGCUCGGGUGCCCUAGGACGGCAGUGGUCCCUGCAUGAACCCAAGCGGGGCCACUUGAGUGCCAAGAGGAAGGGAGACUAAAGUGACUGGAACACACCAAAUACUCAAACACUGGUGAGCCUAUGAAGAAACUGAGAGGAAAACACUUCUCUCUCUGCCACCAUCGGUGACUCUCAUCCCAACCCCUCUCCACGGCGACACGCGGUGAAGGAGGAAGCACGCGACAGAGAAAGUUACACAGGUGCUCAUCAAAGGUGGCUUGGGGCCAGCGUGGCCUGGAUCACGGGUGACCAUGAGGGCGUCUGCUGAUCUUCCUGGGGUGGGGGACAUAGCGCGCCUCUGCCCUUCGCCUGCCCCGGCUUGUUCCUCCUCUAGUGUAAGAAUGGGCCUCUUCCUGCCCCGCUGACGCAGGCUCAGGCUGUGAGACUUGCCUUGACCUGAGAAUUCUUAGGAGAUAAUGACGUCCCCACUGUCCUCUGGGAGAUGCUCGUGCUGCCGUAGCUGCCACUCUGGAGUCCAGCCUGGACGGGGCUGGCCGCAGAGGGCUUCACACUCGCGGCUGAGCCAGGAGCCGUUUGCUGUGUGGCAGCACUGGUCCGAGUGCCCCACGUUCGAGACCCCACCUAAGGUUCGGCUCAGGCCCACCUGAGCUGCUGUUGGAAGAAGGGGCUCAG